This 412-nucleotide ribosomal RNA is filed under the name Bacillota bacterium. RNAcentral describes it as "Firmicutes bacterium partial 16S ribosomal RNA". It matches the Rfam family "Bacterial small subunit ribosomal RNA", at positions 355 to 776 of the family's 1533-position model. The record is from RNAcentral. Lineage: Bacteria; Bacillati; Bacillota.
UGGGGAAUCUUGCACAAUGGGCGGAAGCCUGAUGCAGCGACGCCGCGUGGGGGAUGACGGCCUUCGGGUUGUAAACUCCUUUCGCCAGGGACGAAGCCGUGAGGUGACGGUACCUGGAUAAGAAGCACCGGCUAACUACGUGCCAGCAGCCGCGGUAAUACGUAGGGUGCGAGCGUUGUCCGGAAUUACUGGGCGUAAAGAGCUCGUAGGUGGUUUGUCGCGUCGUCUGUGAAAUUCCGGGGCUUAACUCCGGGCGUGCAGGCGAUACGGGCAUAACUUGAGUGCUGUAGGGGAGACUGGAAUUCCUGGUGUAGCGGUGAAAUGCGCAGAUAUCAGGAGGAACACCGAUGGCGAAGGUAGGUCUCUGGGCAGUAACUGACGCUGAGGAGCGAAAGCAUGGGUAGCGAACAGG